This 586-nucleotide ribosomal RNA is filed under the name uncultured bacterium. RNAcentral describes it as "partial 16S ribosomal RNA". It matches the Rfam family "Bacterial small subunit ribosomal RNA", at positions 355 to 1375 of the family's 1533-position model. The record is from RNAcentral.
UGGGGAAUUUUGGACAAUGGGCGAAAGCCUGAUCCAGCAAUGCCGCGUGUGUGAAGAGGGCCUUCGGGUUGUAAAGCACUUUUGUCCGGAAAGAAAUCCUUGGCUCUAAUACAGUCGGGGGAUGACGGUACCGGAAGAAUAAGCACCGGCUAACUACGUGCCAGCAGCCGCGGUAAUACGUAGGGUGCAAGCGUUAAUCGGAAUUACUGGGCGUAAAGCGUGCGCAGGCGGUUUGCUAAGACCGAUGUGAAAUCCCCGGGCUCAACCUGGGAACUGCAUUGGUGACUGGCAGGCUAGAGUAUGGCAGAGGGGGGUAGAAUUCCACGUGUAGCAGUGAAAUGCGUAGAGAUGUGGAGGAAUACCGAUGGCGAAGGCAGCCCCCUGGGCCAAUACUGACGCUCAUGCACGAAAGCGUGGGGAGCAAACAGGAUUAGAUACCCUGGUAGUCCACGCCCUAAAACGAUGUCAACUAGUUGUUGGGGAUUCAUUUCCUUAGUAACGUAGCUAACGCGUGAAGUUGACCGCCUGGGGAGUACGGUCGCAAGAUUAAAACUCAAAGGAAUUGACGGGGUCAUAGCUGUUUCCU